This 554-nucleotide ribosomal RNA is filed under the name uncultured bacterium. RNAcentral's name for it is "bacterial SSU rRNA". It matches the Rfam family "Bacterial small subunit ribosomal RNA", at positions 776 to 1329 of the family's 1533-position model. The record is from RNAcentral.
AAAUAGAUACCCCCGGGUAGUCCACCCCGUAAACGUUGGGAACUAGUUGUGGGGUCCUUUCCACGGAUUCCGUGACGCAGCUAACGCAUUAAGUUCCCCGCCUGGGGAGUACGGCCGCAAGGCUAAAAACUCAAAAGGAAUUGACGGGGACCCGCACAAGCGGCGGAGCAUGCGGAUUAAUUCGAUGCAACGCGAAGAACCUUACCAAGGCUUGACAUACACCGGAAACGGCCAGAGAUGGUCGCCCCGCAAGGUCGGUGUACAGGUGGUGCAUGGUUGUCGUCAGCUCGUGUCGUGAGAUGUUGGGUUAAGUCCCGCAACGAGCGCAACCCUCGUUCUAUGUUGCCAGCACGUAAUGGUGGGAACUCAUGGGAUACUGCCGGGGUCAACUCGGAGGAAGGUGGGGAUAACGUCAAAUCAUCAUGCCCCUUAUGUCUUGGGCUUCACGCAUGCUACAAUGGCCGGUACAAAGGGCUGCAAUACCGUGAGGUGGAGCGAAUCCCAAAAGCCGGUCCAGUUCGGAUUGAGGUCUGCAACUCGACUCAUGAAGUCGG